Molecule: ribosomal RNA, 527 nt
Filed under: Staphylococcus epidermidis
Lineage: Bacteria; Bacillati; Bacillota; Bacilli; Caryophanales; Staphylococcaceae
Description: bacterial SSU rRNA
Rfam family: Bacterial small subunit ribosomal RNA
Source: RNAcentral
CCAUCUGUGGUAUAACCUACCUAUAGGACUGGUAUGACUUCAGGAAACGGGAGCUUAUACCGGAAAAUAUAUUGAACCGCAAGGGUCCCUAGUGAGAUACGGUUUUGCUGUCACUUAUAGAUGGAUCCGCGCCGCAUUAGCUAGUUGGUAAGGUAACGGCUUACCCAGGCUGCGAUGCGUACCCGACCUGAAAGGGUGAUCGACCACACUGGAACUGAUACUCGGUCCAGACUCCUACCGGAAGCCACCCUAGGGAAUCUUCCGCAAUGGGCCAAAGCCUGACGGAGCAACGCCGCGUGAGUGAUGAAGGUCUUCAGAUCGAAAAACUCUGUUAUUAAGGAACAACACAUGUGUAACUAACUAUGCACGUCUUGACGGUACCUAAUCAAAAACCCACGGCUAACUACGUGCCAGCAGCCGCUUUAAUACGUAGGUGGCACGCGUUAUCCGGAAUUAUUGGGCCUAAAGCGCGCGUAUGCCGUUUUUUAAAUCUGAUGUGAAAGCCCACGGCUCAACCGUGUAGGGUC